AACAGUUUCUCUUUAUUGGCAGUAGGGACUAUAAAGUCAACGUCUUACAUUAGGUACAGUAUCAGCAGUUUCAUUAGGUACAGUAUCAUUUUCUGUUUAGGUACAGGGCAGUUUAGUGGCAUCUUCCAGCCGCUAACUGUCUAGCCAAGGUAGUACUCUCAAUGUAGUACUCUCAAGGUAGUACAACUCUCAAUGUAGUAUUCUCAAGGUAGUACAACUCUCAACGUAGUACAACUCUCAACGUAGUACUCUCAAGGUAGUACAACUCUCAAGGUAGUACUCUCAAGGUAGUACAACUCUCAAUGUAGUAUUCUCAAGGUAGUACAACUCUCAACGCAGUACUCUCAAGGUAGUACAAUGUAGUGCUCUCAAGGUAGUACAACUCUCAACGCAGUACUCUCAAGGUAGUACAACUCUCAACGUAGUAUUGUCAAGGUAGUACAACUCUCAACGUAGUAUUCUCAAGGAAGUACAAUGUAGUACUCUCAAGGUAGUACAACUCUCAACGUAGUACUCUCAAGGUAGUACAACUCUCAACGUAGUACUCUCAAGGUAGUACAACUCUGCACAACACAGGGUAGUAGAGUAACAUCCAGGAAUAUUCCAUGUACAGUACAGUAAUACAGUCAACAGAACACGUCGGAGCUGUCUAAAGGUCAUAGCAGGGCUUCAGUACUAAACCCUCAGUAAAAAACACCAAAACAAUUACUCAACACAUUGUUUUAGUUUCAGCUAAGUUUUACAUUUUAGUUUUGGUCUGUUUUUUU
This is a long non-coding RNA of Oncorhynchus keta (chum salmon), 767 nucleotides long. RefSeq lists it as uncharacterized. The record is from RefSeq and is a predicted model, not a curated record. Lineage: Eukaryota; Metazoa; Chordata; Actinopteri; Salmoniformes; Salmonidae. The transcript has 2 exons.